CCUACGGGAGGCUGCAGUGGGGAAUAUUGGACAAUGGGGGGAACCCUGAUCCAGCCAUGCCGCGUGUGUGAAGAAGGCCUUUUGGUUGUAAAGCACUUUAAGCGAGGAGGAGGCUACUGGUAUUAAUACUACCGGAUAGUGGACGUUACUCGCAGAAUAAGCACCGGCUAACUCUGUGCCAGCAGCCGCGGUAAUACAGAGGGUGCGAGCGUUAAUCGGAUUUACUGGGCGUAAAGCGUGCGUAGGCGGCUUUUUAAGUCGGAUGUGAAAUCCCU
This 275-nucleotide ribosomal RNA is filed under the name uncultured Acinetobacter sp. RNAcentral's name for it is "partial 16S ribosomal RNA". It matches the Rfam family "Bacterial small subunit ribosomal RNA", at positions 338 to 604 of the family's 1533-position model. Lineage: Bacteria; Pseudomonadati; Pseudomonadota; Gammaproteobacteria; Moraxellales; Moraxellaceae. The record is from RNAcentral.